AUGAAGACGGUGUUUGUGAAUAGGAUGGUCAGAGCUGGUUUCAAAGUCAAAAUCUUGAUAGCAGAUUGGUUUGCCCAGAUGAGCUAUAAGAUUGUUAGUGAUCUGGAUAAAAUACGGACUAUCAGCCAGUACAAUAUUGAGGCGUGGAAGGCAGCUGGCAUGGACCUUACCAGGGUGGAGCUUGUUUGGCUGUCAGAUGUAAUGAAUAUCCAUGCAGCCAAUUUUUGGCCCCUUGUCAUGGAUGUUAGCCAAAAAUACACCGUUGAUAACAUAAAGAGAAUCCCUUAUGGACCGAGAAUAUUGCAUGUUACACAGAUACUUUUGCCUUGCCUUCAGUGUGCUGCCAUGUUAUUCCAAAAGCAGGUGGAUAUAUGGCUGUUGGACAUGGAUCAGAGAGAGGUUUCCAUUCUAGCUAGAAAGUACUUUGAGGACAUAAAAAGGGAAAAUGGACCUAUCAUUCUGUUGAACCAUAUGCUUCCUGAUUUACUAGAAUACCCUGAAAUUGCGGAGAAGUUAGAUCGUGCACGUGCUAUCUCUAUGGAAGAUACUGAGGUAUGUUUGGCUUGUGUUAAUUCUUGUUGUCCUCUUGUGGGCUCAUUAUUAACUCAAACUAUGCACUAG
This 621-nucleotide ribosomal RNA is filed under the name Triticum aestivum (bread wheat). RNAcentral's name for it is "partial small subunit ribosomal RNA". Lineage: Eukaryota; Viridiplantae; Streptophyta; Magnoliopsida; Poales; Poaceae. The record is from RNAcentral.